CCCACAGUGGUUUUUAUGACUUGGCAAAUUUCUGAGUCAAAGGAUUGAUGGAGCUCUGGAUCUUCAGAUUUUGACUCGGUGGACUGCUCCUCUUUAAGUUCAUGCAAAUUUAUGUGCUCCCAAUUCCAGUGCAGCAUAGCACAGUAGAGGUGGGCAGCAAAAUCGCAUCUUGAGCAAUAGUAAAGCCAGUGUGUAUCCACUUUUCGAACACAGAGUCGACAAAUUGGAGAGUCGGAUUGAUGGACUUCAAGAGAAGGGGUGAGGUGGAGAGGGUGGUUGUGACGAUAAACUUUCAGUCUGCGUGGGCAAGCAGCACAACGUGAAUGUAUACCGAAAUCGCACUGGGCACAAAGGUAGGGCAGAUUGCCUUUUUUGCCACAGAAGUCGCAAGUGAACUUCAACCGCUUCCAAAUGCGGGUCAAUUGAUGGUCAUGGACUUCAGUUUGGAUGGUGAGUGAUAAAGAAGAACAAUUGAUGUGAAUGUUGAAGUUGCAACGGUAACAACAAUAACUGUAUUCAUUACUCUUUUCUCCGCAGACGUCGCAUUUGCUAAAUUUCUCAUAUU
Molecule: long non-coding RNA, 565 nt
Organism: Quercus robur (English oak)
Lineage: Eukaryota; Viridiplantae; Streptophyta; Magnoliopsida; Fagales; Fagaceae
Exons: 3
Source: RefSeq, a predicted model, not a curated record